GAUAAACGCUAGCGGCAGGCUUAACACAUGCAAGUCGAGGGGCAGCAUAGAUUGUAGCAAUACAAUUGGUGGCGACCGGCGCACGGGUGCGUAACGCGUAUGCAACCUACCCGUCACAGGGGGAUAAUCCGGAGAAAUCUGGUCUAAUACCCCAUAACAUAUGGAUCGGCAUCGGCCCCUGUUGAAAUGUUCGGAGGCGCCGGCUGGGGAUGCGUAGCAUUCGCUGGUUGGUGAGGUAACGGCUCACCAAGGCGACGAUGCUUAGGGGGACUGAGAGGUUUACCCCCCACACUGGGACUGAGACACGGACCAGACUCCUACGGGAGGCAGCAGUGAGGAAUAUUGGUCAAUGGGCGCAAGCCUGAACCAGCCAUGCCGCGUGCAGGAUGACGGCUCUAUGAGUUGUAAACUGCUUUUGUACGAGGGUAAAGUGGGUUACGUGUAACCUUUUGAAAGUAUCGUACGAAUAAGGAUCGGCUAACUCCGUGCCAGCCGCCGCCGUAA
Molecule: ribosomal RNA, 504 nt
Filed under: uncultured bacterium
Lineage: Bacteria
Description: partial 16S ribosomal RNA
Rfam family: Bacterial small subunit ribosomal RNA
Source: RNAcentral